GAAACUCGCCUACAUGAAGCUGGAGUUACUAGUAAUCGCAGAUCAGAAUGCUGCGGUGAAUGCGUUCCCGGGUCUUGUACACACCGCCCGUCACACCACGGAAGUUGGGGCGCCCGAAGCCACUUAGCUAACCCUUUGGGAAGCGAGUGUCGAAGGUGAAAUCAAUAACUGGGGUGAAGUCGUAACAAGGUAAC
This 194-nucleotide ribosomal RNA is filed under the name uncultured bacterium. RNAcentral describes it as "partial 16S ribosomal RNA". It matches the Rfam family "Bacterial small subunit ribosomal RNA", at positions 1307 to 1500 of the family's 1533-position model. The record is from RNAcentral.